RNAcentral lists this ribosomal RNA (680 nucleotides) under uncultured Actinomycetes bacterium. Its description in RNAcentral is "bacterial SSU rRNA". It matches the Rfam family "Bacterial small subunit ribosomal RNA", at positions 726 to 1408 of the family's 1533-position model. The record is from RNAcentral. Lineage: Bacteria; Bacillati; Actinomycetota; Actinomycetes.
GUCUCUGGCCAUUACUGACACUGAGGAGCGAAAGCGUGGGGACCGAACAGGAUUAGAUACCCUGGUAGUCCACGCCGUAAACGGUGGGCGCUAGUUGUGGGAACCUUCCACGGUUUCUGCGACGCAGCUAACGCAUUAAGCGCCCCGCCUGGGGAGUACGAUCGCAAGAUUAAAACUCAAAGGAAUUGACGGGGCCCCGCACAAGCAGCGGAGCAUGCGGCUUAAUUCGACGCAACGCGAAGAACCUUACCAAGGCUUGACAUAUACAGGAAUAUGGCAGAAAUGUCAUAGCCGCAAGGUCUGUAUACAGGUGGUGCAUGGUUGUCGUCAGCUCGUGUCGUGAGAUGUUGGGUUAAGUCCCGCAACGAGCGCAACCCUCGUUCUGUGUUGCCAGCAUUUAGUUGGGGACUCACAGGAGACUGCCGGGGUUAACUCGGAGGAAGGUGGGGAUGACGUCAAAUCAUCAUGCCCCUUAUGUCUUGGGCUGCACGCAUGCUACAAUGGCUGGUACAAACGGCUGCGAUACCGCAAGGUGGAGCGAAUCCGAUAAAGCCAGUCUCAGUUCGGAUUGGGGUCUGCAACUCGACCCCAUGAAGUCGGAGUUGCUAGUAAUCGUAGAUCAGCAACGCUACGGUGAAUACGUUCCCGGGGCUUGUACACACCGCCCGUCACGUCACGAA